AUUGAACGCUGGCGGCAUGCUUUACACGUGCAAGUCGAACGGUAACAGGCCGCAAGGUGCUGACGAGUGGCGAACGGGUGAGUAAUGCAUCGGAACGUGCCCAGUCGUGGGGGAUAACGCAGCGAAAGCUGCGCUAAUACCGCAUACGAUCUAUGGAUGAAAGCGGGGGACCGUAAGGCCUCGCCCGAUUGGAGCGGCCGAUGUCAGAUUAGGUAGUUGGUGGGGUAAAGGCUCACCAAGCCGACGAUCUGUAGCUGGUCUGAGAGGACGACCAGCCACACUGGGACUGAGACACGGCCCAGACUCCUACGGGAGGCAGCAGUGGGGAAUUUUGGACAAUGGGGGCAACCCUGAUCCAGCAAUGCCGCGUGCAGGAAGAAGGCCUUCGGGUUGUAAACUGCUUUUGUACGGAACGAAACGGCUCUGGUUAAUACCCGGGGCUAAUGACGGUACCGUAAGAAUAAGCACCGGCUAACUACGUGCCAGCAGCCGCAGUAA
RNAcentral lists this ribosomal RNA (498 nucleotides) under uncultured bacterium. RNAcentral's name for it is "partial 16S ribosomal RNA". It matches the Rfam family "Bacterial small subunit ribosomal RNA", at positions 30 to 523 of the family's 1533-position model. The record is from RNAcentral.